UACGGAGGGUGCAAGCGUUAUCCGGAUUUACUGGGUUUAAAGGGUGCGUAGGCGGCUUUUUAAGUCAGUGGUGAAAGACAACAGCUCAACUGUUGCAGUGCCAUUGAUACUGAAGAGCUUGAGUACAGAUGAGGUAGGCGGAAUUUAUGGUGUAGCGGUGAAAUGCAUAGAUACCAUAAAGAACACCUAUUGCGAAGGCAGCUUACUAAGCUGUAACUGACGCUGAGGCACGAAAGUGUGGGGAUCAAACAGG
This 253-nucleotide ribosomal RNA is filed under the name uncultured bacterium. RNAcentral describes it as "partial 16S ribosomal RNA". It matches the Rfam family "Bacterial small subunit ribosomal RNA", at positions 524 to 776 of the family's 1533-position model. The record is from RNAcentral.